RNAcentral lists this ribosomal RNA (486 nucleotides) under Triticum aestivum (bread wheat). RNAcentral describes it as "partial small subunit ribosomal RNA". Lineage: Eukaryota; Viridiplantae; Streptophyta; Magnoliopsida; Poales; Poaceae. The record is from RNAcentral.
AUGGGCUUCCUGGAGGCCCUGUCGGGGCUGUGCCGCUCGUGCCCGGCCCCCCUCACGCGCGGCCACCUGCAGAAGGGGCGGCAGCUGGAGACGGUGGAGAUGAAGGUCCGGAUCGACUGCGAGGGCUGCGUGAGCAAGAUCCGCAAGACGCUGGAGGGGAUGGACGGCGUCACCGGCGUCGACGUUGUCCCCAGGGAGAACAGGGUGACCGUCACCGGCUACGUCGACGCCGCCAAGGUGAUGCGCCGCGUCGCGCGCAAGACCGGCAAGCGCGUCGAGCCGUGGCCCUACGUGCCCUACGACGUCGUCGCGCACCCCUACGCGCCCGGCGCCUACGACAGGAGGGCGCCCGCCGGGUACGUGCGCGACGUCAUGGCCAACCCCGGCGGCGCGAAUGCGUCCUUCGUGCGCGCCACGUCCACGGAGACUAGGUACACCGGGGCUUUCUCCGACGAGAACCCCAACGCGGCGUGCGCGAUCAUGUAG